This 29438-nucleotide long non-coding RNA is filed under the name Pelobates cultripes (western spadefoot toad). The record is from RNAcentral. Lineage: Eukaryota; Metazoa; Chordata; Amphibia; Anura; Pelobatidae.
CUCCAAAGCAUCCUUGGUGGGGAUUAUACCACUUACGCCGUAUCACUGAGCACUGUGUCUGCCCAAUUAAAUGUGAGUAGCCAUUUAGUAUUUUUAUACACUCUCCUGGUUUUAUCACAGUGAGCACUAUUGUUUGUUAUGUUACAUAUGGUCCCCAUCUGACGAGAUAUCUACUUACAACACUCCCUCGUGUAUCUCAUAAGUGGGGAAUAUACCACUGUAUGCUGUUUAUACUAGAACUAGUUUUUAGCUCUCAAAAAUGUGAGUAGGACCAUAUAUAUAUAUAUAUAUAUAUAUAAAUAUAUAUAUAUAUAUACUGUGUAUAUAUAUAAAUAUACCUAUUAUUAUUUUUAUUGUUCUCUCUCUGUAUUAUAUAGCAUUGUUUAUUUCUAUAUUACUACUUGCUUAUAUUUAAUUGUACAGAUUAUCUCUAUGGUGCCACCAUUUUCUACUUCCUUAUACCUAUAUGGCCUGUAAGGUAGCCCUAUCCUUUAGGUGCACUGCCUUUAUUUCAGUGCUGAUUCUUCUGUACACUUUUCACCAGAUCGUGCUAUGUAUAAUAAUAAUUAAUCUUACUAAAUCUGGAUCCACCCUCCUCUGUAUGAUAUUCAUAUGAUAAGCAUAGGCAAACAAUAAUUCAUUAAUGAACAACAGCAUUACAACGAGAACAUCAUAAUGUAUAUCUCUUCCUCUCCUGGCUCUGGUUAGUUAUACCUUUAUCCUGCGUAGAUUGAAGAAUGUAAGUACUUUCAUGUCUGUGUUAUUAAAAACAGAAACCUCUAAUACACAGCAUAUAAGGUGUACGAUAUGCAAAGAAAAUACAAUGAAUAUGUACUUAACUAAACACCACCGGAACAGAAUGUUUGUUGCCAACAUUCAAUGAUUAAUUACAACGUUCUUUCUUAUUUACAUGAAUAAACUGCUAAUAUUGAAAUGGGGUAAAUUUACAAAAUCAUUUCUGAGAAUUUGCAAGAAAAUGUUCAUUUCAGGCCAAAAAAAACUGAACUGCAAAUUUAGAGGAAUUUUAGGUUUUUAUAAAUUUCCUUGUGCUAUUAAUAAACUCCAAAUAUCUAGUCAGAUUCCAACAUAAUUUCAUUAUUGUCUAUGAUAUUCGUUAUCUAUAAAAAUGUUUACACUGCAGCACUUUGAUGUCUUCAAAUCAAGAUUUUUCGUCUGAAAUAGUUAAAUAGUUAGAUAAUAAACGUUUAAAAACUACUGACUUGUAUUUGAGUGAAACAUUUAUAAAAUGUCUAAAUGUAGUGCAAAACGGGAAUUUGAUAUAUAGAGAUCUCUAUUCAAAAAUGCAUAAAAAUAUAAUAUAAUAAUGUAAAUACAAGCAAAUUUAUAUUUUAAAUACAUCUAUAUGGUAUAGAUCUUACUUCACAUUUAUUCUGACAGAACCAUUUGCAUGCAAAUUGGCAUUUUACAAAAAACUAAAUAUCAAGUAUGUGAUAAACUCAAUAAUUUCAUCAUAAGGGUGAAAUAUUUUGCUUACAGUAUUUUUAAGAAUUGCCGUAGUAAGCAAAAUACAUUUGAGUAGAAGAAAGGCUGUAAGUUGUAUUGUGCGUGCUAGAGCUAUAUAAUUUUUUGUGUUUAUGCAUACCAUUUAUAAGUUCAGUUUUUAAAAAAAAAAUGUUUUUUAUAUAAGUGUUUAGUAUUUUUUAUUAUGUAUAUAUUUUUAUUUAAGUUAUCUGACCUUAAAUAGGUCAUGGUAUUUCUCAUGCAGAUAUAGUUUCUACUUUAUCUAAAAAGUGAACAGAAUGUAUCACACAACAAGUAUGCUUUUAUAAAUGUCAUUUUUGUCUCCAAAAUUUAUUUUAAAUGCACUUGUCAAAGUUGUGGAGACACAUUUACUUCAAACGUGCAAACGUUUUCAAUUCUUGGUCCUGCUUACUAUAAUGAUUUUAAACCAAUGUACCUUAAAAACAAUAACAGGUGUAAUGCCUUUAGUUUUCCUGUUUUUUUUUUUCAUAUUAAAACACAUGCAUUGAAAUAGUUUAACAUACUUUAUAUUACAAAACAAUGUUAUCUCCAAGUCUCAUGUGUCUUAUACAUGAACUCUGCAUCGAAGUCAGGGUUAUUCAAUAAACUCUGAACUGUAUCGAAUUAAAAUCUAAAUUGCAAACGUUCAACAAAAAUUACUGAUCUGAUAAAAAUUUUCCAACUUAGCUUUGGUCACAACUUGUCUAUUUUAGACCCAAUUGUACAAGUUAGAGAUUGAUUUGCUACAAUUCAGAGCUUAGUGAAUGGUCCUUAGUGUAUUGUUACAAGGUUGUAUUUUUGAGCACUUAACGAAGACAAUUAUACAUUUAACAUGGUGGCAGGAAAAACUAUUUGGUUUUACUGAACUUGUAGGCAGACGCCAAUCCUAAUUGUAGCUAUAAUUACAAAAUGCUGCCAUUAACACCAUAUUGCCAAGUAGUGAUGUCCCGAACGGUUCGCCGAUAGGUUCGCCACGGAUGGCGAACAUAUGCGCUGUUCGGUCCGCCCCCUAUUCGUCAUCAUUUAGUAAACCUUGACCCUGUACCUCACAGUCAGCAGAUACAUUCCAGCCAAUCAGCAGCAGACCCUCCCUCCCGGACCUUCCCACCUCCUGGACAGCUCACUAAGAAUGCAGCUUCACAAUGAAUGUAAAAUGGAUGCUAUCCAGGAGGUGUGAUGGUCUGGGAGGGAGGGUCUGCUGCUGAUUGGCUGGAAUGUGUUUGCUGACUGUGAGGUACAGGGUCAAAGUUUACUCAAUGAUGACAUAGGGGGCGGACCGAACAGCGCAUAUGUUCGCCAUCCGUGGCGAACCGUUGGGCGAACUGUUCGGGACAUCACUAUUGCCAAGUAAUUCCAUGGUAGAAAAAGUUAAGUUUAGUAUGCCACAAUAAUUAAAAUAUUUUUGUUAUAGUAUUAAAUUUAUAUUGUAUCAAUAAUUGACUUAUGUUAUUUAUUACAUUUAUAUCAUAUUAAAGUAUUAUUUUACCAUAUGUGAUGCAACUAAUUGUGCAAGCACAGGACAAAUAUUGUGGAUUUACGUAGGUUCGUCUCCAAAGCACAGGAGAAUUUAUUUUGAAAAUGUGCCUUCUACCAGAUGUGUCCAGAGUGACUUAAGCUAAAUCAACAUUUGAUAAAUAUUUAAAUCUAAUAUUUAAUAUAUUUAUAGUUACAUAUAGUAAUGUAGUUUUAAAAAAAGAGGCCAUUGGGUUUAAUCCAUCUUUUAUUACUUAUUUUAGAGCAGACAGCUGAUGACAUUUAACCCUUUCACUUCCAAGCAGUUUGCAAAAAAUGUAUAGAAUCUCAGAAUUUUGAGAGCUCCGGAAAGUAAUGUUAUAAUGUAUUUUUCAUUUCAAUAUGCAUGGGUAGCACUUUAUAUAAUGGAAAUAAAUAAUGGACAGAAAAAUGUUCAAAAAAUAACAUACCGUAUAUUAAUGAAUAAAAAAGUGCUAUAAAUAACAUUCCUGAAUAUGUAACAUAGUCUAUUUCCCCCACAUAUUCUAUAAUCCUCUGAGAUAGAGACACACACACACACGAAACAAGGGCUGCAAUCACCUGUAGUCGAUGUGUGUUAUGUUUAUGGUGAGGCUGUUCUUUGCUUGUGGGAAGUUACUGUGUGUGUGUGUGUGUGUGCACUGUUAGGGGGAUUAAUGUGACAGAAUAAGUGUGGCGGAGUGAGUGUGACAGAAUUGGGUGGGGAAGUAUUUUAGGGUUGGGGUAUGUGUGAUGGGAUUAUUAGGGUGCAGGGUACAGGAGUGAGUAUGGCAGGGUGAGUGUGAGGGGUGACUGUGUGUGGGGAGGCUGUGUUUCUGUUUCUUGUCACCACGAAAACUGAGCAACAUUUUUGUUAGCCUUUCCUGAUUGAUUUUUGGGUGACAAGGGAGGCAAUUAUUUAUUUAUCCAGAGAUGGUUUUCCUGGUGGUUAUGUGGGAGUUGAAACAGGUCUUUACCCAGCCGGAGGUGCAGACCUGCAAGAAAAGCAGUGGCCAGAGUGAUAUAUAAAUCUCACCACUGGCACUUGCAUCCCAGAAGAGCUAGCUCUGUAAUUGUAGCAUUGUCUUUGUGUCUGGGAACCCAAAUGGGACCAAUUGAAAACAACACAUUGUUUGCAUAAAACGAAUGUCAUUUGUAAUAUUGAAAAUCAUGUUUACACAAUUCCAGGAUAGUGGUACAUAACAUGGGAAUUGUGUAUACACGAAUUCUGUAGUGAAGUGGUUAAUCAGAUGUCCUCUUUGAUUGAAUAACUGAUUUUAAAACAGAUUUGACUUUAGCAAAUGUAGCACUUUCCAAAAUCACACAUAAACAUUUUUUUUGUGAUUUAUUAGAUAUAAAGCUGUACUAUUAACAUACUAGUCAAUACAUUGCCCAUGGAUCCUAACAAAGUUUCUAGGAAUUCCCAAGAGAUAAGUUAUUAGAGUGUGAAUUCAAAGUGAUUUUUAAAAUUAGCCCCUUCACUACCAAUAAGUCUACGGAAAAAAAAAAACACUUCCAGAGUCCGAGUAAUUUUGAUGUCCUGAGAAGUAUUGUUUAAAUGUAUUUAUCAUUUCUGUAUGCAUAGAUAGCACACUAUUAAAUGAAAAAAAAAACAAAAAAAAAACACAGAUAAUGAAGCUACAAGUAUGGAAAUAGUGUAUAUAGUAAAUAUAUACAUAUUGUAUAAUCUUGAUUAUCUGAGCAAGCCCAAUGCUUCCCCACAGGAAAGCAGUGGGAGGCAAGUGCGCAUGCAUACCAAGUCGCUGUGCUGAACCAACUAAAUACUAUUCUAGUCUUCAGCAUAGGAGUUUGUGUUCCUAAGUUUUUUUGUUUGUUUUUUCUUUUAAUUUAAAAUUACCUAUUCAAUGUGUUACAUUUAUUUAAAAUAAUAUUGAUAAAAGUAAAUUUUUUAUUAUUCACUCCAAGUCCUUCUAUAGGUCUUCUAAAUGUCAGUAUUUUGUUAGUUAUGCAUAGUAGAUCUUUAGGUGAGGACUGCACUGAGAGAACUAAUUUGUCGUCGGUUUCGUUUUUUGUUUUUUUUACACAUGUACAAAACAUUGUCUUUCCCUGCUACUUUUGUAACCCUAAUGCGUACUAACAAAGCAAAAGAUUAUCAAAAGAUGAGAGGGGCGUAUAAUGGGCAGGAUCCUGGUUUGGGGGCUGGUUGACUGACUGGUCAAUGAAAAACUUAAAACAUAAGUAAUAUCAUGAGUCUAUAGCCCUACAUUUGGACCACUUCUAUACCAUAUCUGUGAGUCUUUAAGACUUUACAGUUUCCUUUAUUUAAUUAAUCUUUUUUAAUCCAUUUUGAAUUAAAUAAAUAUAUUUUUUAACAGAUUAUCACAAUUAUUAAACAAUGUCUUCAUUCUUUUGAGGUUGGACUUCCUCGAGGAUAUGUCCCUUGAGAAGUGGAUGCUGAAAUUAUUGCAGUCACUUAGCAUGGCAAACGUUGUACUACAGAGCAAAGAGCUCUUUAGCCAUCCACAUUGCAUUUAAUGUAUCUGUUAAACACAAAUUAGGGCCCGGCAAGCUGAAUAUUUGCCAAUUUGGACAUAUCAGGCCUGUAUUACUGUAACCCAUCAGUAAGGAAUUAGAACUGCUUUUAUAGAGAGCCUAACACAGGUAAGAACAGAUAGCAUUCUCUGAUAUAAUGAUGAUAUUGUAACUUCUUCAACAUUUCUCUGUUGCAGGGCAAGCCUGUAUCUAAAAAAAUGGAUUCUGUUCUUUUUACUUGUACUGCUUCUAUUCUCGGUGUCAUGCAUCUGGUGAGUAUAGCUGGUUCUGAAGGCUUUCCCAUAUGUUCAGCUGUUUUUCCUCCAAGUACUUCAGUAAAAGUAGUGUGAUCAAUUGUGACUGGUUAUUUGGGAAGUCCACAAAGGUAAGUGAAUACUACCUUUACCACAUGCCAUCAAAGUAACCUUAUAAAAAAAAAAAAAAAAUGAUGUGGUUAUUUAACAAGCAAUAAGUUGUCUUGUGUUUUUGAAAAGCAAGGUCAUUAAAACGUAGCCAUGAAGCCUCAUUUAUCUUGCCCUACUCUACAUUGUAAGAAAUUAUGACCAUCUUACAAGGAUAUUAUUUUAAGGAAUGUGCGACAAACAAGACACAAACACAAGUGUAUAAUAAAAUGUAUUGUCAAUAUUGAUUUAGAAUACUGUUACAGAUUUAAAAAGGAUUUACACAAUACACAUUAUAACCAAUACAGUACAAAACCAAAAGGUACAUAGAAAAGGGCAAUACUUAAACAUUUAAAUGAAGAUCUUCCCCUUGCGCCUUCAUCUUGGGUAAUCUGGAACAGUCUCUCUCAGUUUACCAUGGCACCUGUGCUUGCUGUGCUGUCCUCUCCAAAAGAGACAAAGAGAGAAAGAGAGGAGAGAGUUGAGGAGCCCUACCUCCUUGGCUGUUGUUCUUUUAUAGACUGAUUCUUGCAGUCAUUAACUACAAGUCCCUGAAUCCCUUUUCCCUCCCAAAAGUGGUUUAUCCAGCCCCCUUUUUCCAGAGAGUUCUGUCUUUACACAAGUCUUUCCCUUUGAACUCUUCCCUCCAGCUAUACUGUAACAUUGUGUAAGAUGUGACCAGUUAUCGUUGGUUUUUGGGUAGGUUGGGAGCAAGCCUGGACUUCUUUUAGAGACAGGAUGGCUUGGAAAAAAACACUUCAGUGGGUACACCUAGAUGUUCAUUACUCUGAUCUUCUGAUACCAUGAUUUGUACCCUUUGUACCCAUUGAUGACAACCUCCGUUAAAAUAUAAAUGGAAUUCCAUUGUGAAACCAGAUAGCUUAUUACACAACUGACUUUCACAAAGCAUAUGUCAAUAAAUUAAAAUAGAAAAUAUAAUUUUUAAAUGCACCCAAUUUCUUACACAUUACUAAACACAACUCAGUAGAGCAAUUAAUUUAUUUUCCAAGCCUCAGCUUUGAGAGGGAUUGCAAAUGCUUCCCAAGCCAUUUCCCUGCCAUACUGUACAGAAGCCUUUGUAGGUCAGCCUACAGGGUUUAUUAUGUAGAAGCUGAAGUAGAAAAGAGCAGAUAAAGUACUACUUUAUGGUAACUAUGUAUAGUGAAAAUGAACAUAUGGGUUAAUUAAAACCUCACCCAGAGGUUCCAUAGUAUGAGGUAGGACUUAAAUCAAUAUCAAUAGACAAAAAAACACCUUGUUAAACCUCGAUGGCCCUAGGGUCACUGAGGUUUAGGAUCUAUAAAAGGGGAUAUGUAUAUAUUGGAUGUGCCAGUAACAAAACAAAAUAAAAAAUGGUCUUUAUUACACAUGGAUCAAUCAAUAAUAUGUUUAUGAUAGUACAUACAGAUACAAAUUGCAGGUUUCACACCUAACUAGGUGAACUAAAAAGCUGUAUUUGAUGGGCUCUUCAAUCUAUAUAGCUAAUGGAUAGCAUGCAUACAACAUUGAAUAUCAAAUCCAAAAUACCAACAGAUGAGUUGAAAGAAAAAACAGCUAUAUAAGAUGUAGGCAAUACAUAAAAAUAUAGGCUGAACAAGGGAUGAUGCUAAUGAAGGCACAUGGAACAACAAGCUAUGAUAAAGUAAUAUUUGGCCAAGAUGAUGCACUGCAGAUGUGUGUUACAAACUAAACAGUUGACAAAAUGCUGCCCAUUCUUUGCUUGGACCAUGUAAACAUUCUAUGAAUAUUCUUGCAAUAUAAAUGCUGUCCCUGAAUAGGUUAGCAGCAGAGAUACUUUGAUCUCCCCUGUCGUCAUCGGCACAAGACUCUUGUGGCCCACCAGGCAUUUCCCCAGUUUACAGUACUGCCGGUCCAGGCCUGCUGUCUUGUCAAGUCACACCAGCAGCUGAUAGUGGGUGAUAACUUUUUUACUGUUAUAUGAAUCCCCUUUUUGCUUGUCUAUAUUAUGUUGUGGUCAGAUGAGCUUAUUACGCGAAAACUUGUGAAGGCAGAUUAAAGUGGCACUGUCACAGUUUGGGUACUGUGCCGAAUUCUCAAAGUCCCCCAAAGGUGACAUCAAAGCUGGAGGUGGAUGACAGCCAGAGGAAUUGACACUGAGGCUCUACCUGGGGUCGAGAAAAGUCAGAUGAAGGAGAAAUACAGAGACAAAGUAGUCCCUACUUUGACUCUUUAUAUCAACUAAAGUAUCAUUGGUAUGAGUGAGAAGAUAAAAUGAGAAAAACGUAUCCUUUGCAAUAUGGAACCAUACUACAAAUUAUCUGUUGUGAUAAUGUGUUAUAAUUCUUAAUGGAUACACUCUGAUAUUUUAUGUUUUAUGUAAUAUAUAUAUAUACACACAUAUACACACUGUAUAACUAUAUAAUUUUGGGUGGAUGCCCUUAUCCACGUUUCCCUUGUUUUUAUUAUUGAAAAAAAAAAUCUUAAAUUCUUUAAUAAAAACUAUUUGAAAAGAUUUAAACAUUUAUCCCAACAGGGCUGGCGCGUCCAUAAGGUGGCACAGACUACCGACUUAGGGCGCACUGGCUCUGAGGGUGAAUUUUAGGGUUGUUUUUUUUUUUGCAAGUGCAAGCAUGGUCUUAAAGUUACUUACAUCUCAUCUCUUGUCUCCAUACAGAUGUCAUAUAGAAGUUCCUCUUUCAAUGGAUUCAGGAACUAAAUUGUGUAGAUCAAGCUUUAAUAACCCAGUCUCAAUCUAUGUUGCUGACAACAUUACUCAAUCUUUGCAAAAGCCAUAAGAAACACGUUAAUUGGCACUGUAAAAUUAGUUUUCAUUUAUAGAUUUUUUGGUAAGCAAAUGUAAGUCAGUUUGCUUCCCUGAACUCAGAGAUUGUAAGUUUGUUUGAGCAGAUUCAUCUUCAACUCUAAAUACCCCCUUUGUAUAAUUGUAAAAUGCUGCAAAAUAUGUUUAAGUUAUAUAAAUGCUAAUAACAAUAGUAUUAAUAAUAACGAAUGUCAUGAACAAGUCAAAAUCAGUCUGACAAAUUACUUCAGACAAUUUAUAUAUAUCUUGCCCAAAGGCACUUUCUCAUUUUGUGUAAACCAUGUUGGGUUUGGCUUUUUCUUGGCAUUCUCAAGAUUUAAUUUACAUUUGUGUAAUCCAUCCUUAUCCAUCCAAGAUGAGUUACUUCAGAGCCAAUUUACUAACGUUGUGCCAAAAAUCACUUCCUUAUUUUUUUAAAAGCAUGUUAGACACCAUGUUCUUGGCAAAGCUUUGACUUACAUUUACCUAAUUCAUGCUUACAAAAGGAGAACAAAUACUGAAAGGACUCGCACAGGCAGAUUUCAGUUUAACUUCUGUUCUUUUCAGACUUUUAUUGCUUGUCCUGUACACUAUCCACUGUUUAAUUCUUCUAGGUCAAAAGUAAUCAUUUAAUGAAAAGUGAAAUGUGUUUUUUCUUCUUCAGGUACACGUCUAGAACCAAUGCUUGGCAUCGUGUCUUACUAUUUUCAAGCAAUGCAGAGGAGUGAGUAGUUUUACAGUUCUGCAAAUAAAAUAUUUCUUAUCUAAUCUAAGAUUUUAAUUCAGUUUAAUGACCAAUCCAGGUGCCUGUUCAACUCUGUAUAUCAUUCCUUUCCUUAACCCGUUAGACUUUCCUUAAAUUAAGAAUACUCAUGAGAACAGAUGGAGCAAUCUCGACCAUUAAAGUGAUUCUGUUCCCUCAAACUUACAUUUCUCCUAUUGUUUCCUCUUGCCUUCCUCUUUCAGAAUCUGUUUUUAUUUUCUUCUUGUCUCAUCUAUUUCUCUUUAAAACCAUUUAUACUUUAAUAGUUGAUGCAUGGAGGCCCACAAUAGGAUUAUAUACACUGAUCAGCCAUAACCUUAAAAUCACCUACCUAAUAUGUAGGUUCCCCUCAAACUGCCAAAACAGCUCUGAUGAAUCGAGACAUGGACUCCACAAGACCUCUGAAUCUGUCCUGUGGUAUCUGAGGCCAAUACAUUAACAACAGAUCGUUUAAGUCAGCCUUCGUCCCAUAGGGCAUAUUGCUGCCAACUGUUCCUCAUAUAAGCAAUGCAAAUGCACCCACCUAUUCCUUGAUCUAAAAGAAAAUUUGAUUAAUCAGAUCAGGCAACUUUCUUUCAUUGCUCCGUGGUCCAGUUCUAUCACUCAUAUCCCCAUUGAAGGUGCUUUCGGCAGUAGAUAGGGGUCAUCCUGGGCUCUCUGACCAUUCUGAAGCUAUGCAGCCCCAUAUGUAGUAAACUGCAAUGCAUUGUGUGUUAUGACACCUUUCUUUCAUGGCUAACACUAAAAUUUUCAACCAAUUGAACUACAGUAACUUUUCUGUAUGAUCUGACCAGCUGGGCUAGCCUUCCAUCAUGUGCGUCAGUAGGCCUUGGGCUCCUAUGAUCCUGACGCUGCUUUACCAAUUGUACUAACCACUGCAAACCGGGAACAUCUCACAAGACUUGAUUUACUUUGUGUUGUUAUGACCCAGUCGUCCAGCCAUCAACAUGGCUCAGAUCUUUUUUCGCUUGCCUAUUUUUGCUGCUUCCAACACAUGAAAUUUAAGAACUGACCAUUCACUUGCUGCCUAAGAUAUCCCACCGCUUGACAUGUGACAUUGUAAUGAUAUCAUUAAAGUCAUUCACUUCACCAGUCAGUGGUUUUAUCGUUGUGGAUGAUCAGUGUAUACAGCCAACGAGGAUCCUGCUAACCAAGUAGACAUCCAAAACAGGUCCACAACGGCUGGCCAACAUUUUCAUUUACAUAAUGUGCAAAAUGGUAACUGACACAAUAAUUGGAAUAUUUGCAGUUUAUGUGAAUUCUACUAGAGUUAAAAAUCAUACUUUUUGACUGAAAAAUAUGAUGAAACUAAUAUUCUGAUUUAAUUUGCUUUCUGUUUAUUUUUCAAUAUCAUCAAAUGCUUGCUGCUGAUGUCAUGGGGCAUUUUGUUUAAUAUCUCAUAUAAUUAUUUUUAAACCUGUUGUUACAGUGUAUCCAGUGCAGACCAAAUACAAGAACCAAAACUUCUUCAACGGUAACUUAACAUCUGAUAACACAAAGUAAACAAUGAUAUUAUAUACUGGGGCAAUCACCAGGAGUAUGGUACAAAUGAUUCCUUGUACUAUUAUUUAUUGAUGCUACACUAUACUAUUUGUAUGAGUGUAGCUGAUUCCACCACAAUAUCAUUACUGUCCAUAACUCUGUCUGCUACAUAGUAACACUGGGAAUCACAGCAGUGGCUGUGUGAUCAUAUUAUGGCACCCACUACCAUGAAAGAUGAGGGUAGCAGGAGGGAAAGCAGUGCUGCCCGGUGUACAUCUCUCCUGUUGCUCCAACACUGUACACCAGGGACUGCACAGAGUGCUUCUACUUCCGCCCUCUAUAAAGUAAGGAGAUAGGUGGAUAAUAAAAUUAUAACUUGGUAAGUGGUGGAACUAAUGUAAAGAGGGCUAUGGUGCAAGAUUUGUUUUUGCCCCCCUGCGCAAGUGUGGCACAAAGGUAGAUCUCCAUCUGCCAUACAGCUCCCACAGUGCUAUGCUAGCUGGGGAUCUACUAUUUGCCCACCCUUGCAGGAUUGUAUAUGAGUAGUGUUUGUGCGUUUUAAUUAAAUCAUGUUUUUGUAUGGAGGAUGUGGGUGCAUGUAGGGGUGUAUUUGUAUGUACUGUUGCCAUUGGAUUGCAGUGGUGUACUUGUGUGUAGUGUUUGUGUUUGAAUGCAGGGGUGAGUUUGUAUGUAGUAUUAGCUUGUCAAUGCAAGUGUACUAAUGUGUGUAGUGCUGCUGUUUGAAUAAAGGGGUGCUUGUAUAUAAUUUUUUGCACAGGGGUGUUUUUGAGUGUAAUGUUUGAUUGCAAAGGUGUGUUUGCAUGCAGUGUUGGUAUUUGCUUGUUGGGAUGUAAGCACUUCUACACAAAUAUUGCCACACAUGAAAAUAUAUACAUACAUGCAUAAUUACACAGAAACAUUGGCACACACACAAAACACACAUAUACAAAUACUGACAUGCACACACUGACACAUACAUAUAAACAGACUGACACAUGCUUAGUACAUACACUGACACAUACACACACUGACACACACAAGCACACAGAUGCUUACACACACAUACACACAGACACACACAUUGACAAAUAGACACUUAAACACAGACACAUACACACAGAUACACACAUACAUGUAUUAAUUUUUAUAUUUAUUAUAUUUUAUCCUUUUAUGUUAAAGAGGGUGGCUUCUUUGGGGUCAUGGUACUGGCUGAGUCUGAUAGGAGUGUGGGUCUCCCCAAUUUUGCCUGUUCUCUGCCUCCCGCUCGUCUGUUUCCCUGUAUCUGGGAGGGUGUGCAGACACUCACUUCCUCCCAGCAUCGUGAAUAUAACAGCAGUCCAGUAGCACUGUUAAAGGUCCUCUGCAUCCAACGGAGCCUCUGUUCAGUAAUACCAUAGAGAGGCACAUGCACCUAGGAUCACCCAAUGGACCACCUCUGCAUACCAGCCACACGAACAGUAUUUCCAUCACUGAGCUUGUGUGUAUAUUAGUCUAUAUUUAUGGAUGGAUGUUAGUUUGUGUUUAUACAUGUGUAACUAAGUUUGUUUGUGUGCUCAUGCUUUUCCACUUUUGUGUGUAUGUGUUUAUGUAUGUAUUCUAUGGUGUGUAUCUAUGAAUUUCUGCUAGUCUGUGUCUGAAUGCAUUUUAGUAGUUGUCUCUGUGUGUUAGAGUGUGUCUCUGUGCUAGGGUGGAUCUACGUUCUAGGGUGUGUCUAAGCUAUGCCUCCUAACAGUCCCACAAAGGACCAUCUGCUCAGAACCCACUAUCCCCAAACGACUGUGUAGUCUGAGGGUGGGAACUCUCCAGCCACUCUCAGAAACUUCAAACUGCUAGAGCACUGUUGUUGCAAAUAUUUAUUGCAAAACUAUGUUAAUACAUAAUAAAGGAAUCUAAAAAAAUAUUGGUCCAACACAUAUCUUCCUGUUUAAGACUUCCUUAGGUACAAAAUAAAAUCACAUGCAAAAUAAAAAGCCGAACCACUCAUGUCAUAAACUCUCCUGAUGGAGUUCCUCUUUAAAUAUUCCAAAAUCCCCGCUCCCAUUGAUGUUUCAGUGAGUGUGUCCUGCAACUCCACAAUGUCCAUCCUAUCCUUUGCCUGUACUUGUUUUAAUUAGGUCAACACCCUCCUCCAGUCUGAUCCCAAUCGUUCCAUCCCCAUUUUCUGCAAAUCAAUCACGUGUGUUCCAACGGUACUAAGUGCAUUAAGUUAAUAAUUUAUUGAUUUUGCAAUUAUACUGUAUUUAUAUUGAUAAAAGUGCAAUAAUCUUCUUUUCAAAUAUUUUAUAAAUUUUUUCUAAAUUAUUUACAUACAAUAUAAUACGAAAUGUGUUGAUAUCUUCAGAAAUUAAUUAAUUCAAAAUAUUGACCGUUCACCUUUUUUAUUCAUGUCUUUUAUAUUUUUAGCCAUAUGUAAAUUUAAACAAAACACACCAGGUCCAUAUUGGCGCUCAAUCCAUUUAUCCAUUUUUCUGUAUGAGGAUAAACUUGUUCAAAUUCAAAAAAAAAAAAUUAACCCCUUAGUGUCCAGACAGUUUUUCAAUUUUCUGUUUUGGACCAGGGCUGUUUUUACAUUUCUGCAGUGUUUGUGUUUAGCUGUAAUUUUCCUCUUACUCAUUUACUAUACCCACACAUAUUAUAUACAGAUUUUCUCACCAUUAAAUGGUCUUUCUAAAGAUAACAUUAUUUUUAUUAUAUCAUAUAAUACUAUAAUUCUUUUUAUAAAAUAUGAUGAAAAAAAGGAAAAAAACACACUUUUUCUAACUUUGACCCCCAAAAUCUGUUGCACAUCUACAACCGCCAAAAAACACCCAUGCUAAAUAGUUUUAAAAUUUUGCCCUGAUUUUAGAAAUGUUAACAUGUUCUUAGCUUUUUUUUGCAAGUUAUAGGGCAAUAAGUACAAGUAGCACUUUGCUAUUUCCAAACCAUUUUUUUUUUCAAAAUCAUCGCAAGUUACAUUGUAACACUGAUAUCUGUCUGGAAUCCCUGAAUAACCCUUCACAUGUAUAUAUUUUUUAAACAAAGACAACCCAAGGUAUUAAACUUUGCGUAUUUUGACUCUAUUCAUGCUCUUUUCAUGCAACCAUUUUACCACCAAUCAAUGCCAAAUUUAAAAAAAAAAUUAAUGGUGAUUCUUUUUGACACACAUAGCAAUUUAAGAAUACAUGUACUGAGAACUUUAAGGGAUACUGCCAAAGAACACCCCCAAUAUGUGUUCAGAAACAUCUCCCGAGUACAGUGAUACCACUCAUGUCAUCAUGCACCCAUGUCCUAUUUGGGACAUUUUUUCAGCCAGCCACUGUAAUUUACCCCCAUUGAACCAUAUAUUUUUGAAAAGUAGACACCCUAGGUUUUUCAAGUGGGGGUACAUUAACACUUUCCGUGCACUAAUUCUACCACCAGUCUUUCCCAAACCUUUGGGUAGUACAUUGUUUGUGUUAUUUUUCUCUCACAUUGUACUUUAGGCAUGUAUUCUCAGUUUCUGUUAUGUGUUACUGACAAACACCCCAAUAUGUAAUCAGCAACAUCUCCUGAGUACAGUGAUACCACCCAUGUAUAGGUGUGUCGGUUUCUCUGGGAGCUAAAAGACCUUAUUUGGAGGGUGCACAUUCCAGUUUUCCAACUUGGAAUUUUCACAGACAUUUUUGAAACAUUUUUGAAACAUUUUUGAAACAUUUUUGAAACAUUUUUUUUUUUUAUAAUAGACAUCGCACGGUAUUCAAAAUGGGGUAUGUCCACUCUUUUUUAGUAGCCACUUAGUCACAAACCUUGGCCAAAAUUAGCAUUUGUAUUUGUUUUUUGCAUUUUUUACACAUAAACUGAAUUUCACCGAUGAUAUUAUCAGUAUAAUUCAUUUUACUGCUCUAAAAUAAAAAUUAUUUGUGUAGAGUAAUGUCUCAUACGUACAACAGUACCCCUCAAGUAUAGGUUUUAUGGUGAUUUGGAAAGUUACAGGGUCAAACAUAAGAUUUGCCAAUUUCUAUUUUUGAAAAUUGCUAUUUGCCAGAUUGUUGCCUUUGAGACGGUAUGGCAACCCAGAAAUUAAAAACAACCCUACCUUGACAUACCAUUUGAAAAAGUAGACAACCCAGGGUAUUCAAAAUGGGGUAUGUCCAGUCUUUUGUAGUAGCCACUUAGUCACAAGCACUGGUCAAACUUAGCAUUUAUAUUUGUAUGUGUGUUAAAAAUGCAAAGUAAAGUAAAUGAAAACAUUUUGGUGAUAAAUACUAAAUGUAUAAUCGUGGUAUUGGUAUUGGUAUAAAAUAAUUAGGAUUGGUAAUAUGAGCGGUAUGUCGCAAAAUCGCGCCAACCGCAAGUGGCUGAGUAAUAUCAUAGACUGAUAUAAGUAACAGAAGGACAGAGAUAAAUCAUAUGGUUGAUGAUUAGUUGGGAGAAGGAUAUAAACAAUACAGAAACACCGCGGGAGCCGCGAGGUAAAAGGGUGUAUGGGAAAUGUAGUCCCUUUAGACGAAAUCACGUCUGAGUUACAGGACAUGAUGGGAAAGGGGCGGCCAUUUUGGAUAAGGGCAAAUGUAGGCAAGUGCAAAGGUUCUCUAUGAUAGUGAUAGAAAAGGCGAUUUAAGCCUAAAUUAAAGGGAAAUAAAGAGGCAAAUGAUGUGAAACAGAUAUGGUAAUAAAAUAGAACUCCAUAAAAAUAAAUAAAGGGACAGAACUAUUAAGACAUCAAUUUGUACACAGAAUAAUAUAAACUUAUAAAAACAAAUAUAAUCUACAUAUACAAUAGUGUAUAGAAUAAUGAAGGUUAGCACAUAUAUAAGUUAUAAAAAAUUUAAAAGAUUAAAAUCAAAAUUCAAGCAUUUUGGUAAUAAUGUUUUUAAAUUAAAAACCCAUUCCAUUUCGGUUCUACCUAAAACCUUUUUUAUAUCUCCUCCUCUCCAUGGGAUUGCACAUAUGUGGAUAGCUGUAAAUUUUAAAGCACAUGGAUUUUUUUGAUGAUAUGUUAAAAAAUGUUUGGAGACCGUAUGGAUGUCAUGCCCACAUAUUGGAGGCCACAAGGGAAAUCCAAUAAGAAGAAUACAUUUUUUUUUGUUACAGGUAAUGAAGUCCAUUAUAUUGUAUGUUUUGUUAGUAACAUUUGAUCUAAAUUGAGUGGUUUUGGUUGGAACUGACCCUUGUGUAGUUUUACAAACAAUACAUGUUCUGCAUUUAAAGAAACCUUUAACAUUUGAUAGGGUAGAGGGUUUGGUUGUCUUGUUUUUUGUAUAGGUUUUGGGGAGAAGGGAUUUGAAAAUGGGGGCACCUCUAAAGAUAAUAUUUGGUUUUAUAGGGAUGAUCUUCUUUAGAAUAAUCUUGUAAUAGGAUAUGCCAGUGUUUUUGGAUUAUUUUUUUGAUAUCUCUAUUUUUGUUAUUAUAGUCGAAUAUAAUUAGAAUGGAUGUGUUGGUCUUUUUCUUUUUGGUACUUUGAUCUCUAUAUGUGAGAAGACUAUUUCUAUCAUUGGAUUUUAGUUUCGUGAUUAUAGAAUUUAACAUAUCUUCCAAAUUAUUUUUUUCUAAAAACUUGUUUUUUUAAAUGGUGGUUUGUUCAUCAAAAUCUUCUGGUAUAUCGCAAUUUCUUUUUAGUCUUAAAAACUGGCUUUUUGGGGCACUCUCAAGCCAGGGGGUAUAAUGACAUUUUUUUUUUGAUCAAUCACUGUUAGUGAUGUCCCGAACGGUUCGCCGAAUGGUUCGCCAUGAACGGAAUUUCCCAUACUUCCUUUCACCUCGUGGCUACCGUAGUAUUUCUACCGGCCGCAUCUAUAUUGUUUAUAUCCUUCUUCCAACUAAUCAUCAACCAUAUGAUUUAUCUCUGUCCUUCUGUUACUUAUAUCAGUCUAUGAUAUUACUCAGCCACUUGCGGUUGCCGAGAUUUCGUGACAUAUCGCUCAUGUUACCAAUUCUAAUUAUUCUAACCAUUUUACACCAAUACCACAAUUAUACAUUUAGAAUUUAUCACCAAAUUGUUUUCAUUUACUUUUAAAUUUAAAAUGAGCAUUAUUUCUGAAUAUUGUUUUGUGUUGUACAUUUAAUUACUGUUCUGAUUGGUUUGUAAGCUUUGUGUCCCUGUCCCCCACAAGGUCCAUGUGGGCGUAUACCUUGCUUGGGGACUUGCAUAAAAGGCCACCUGUGGCUUCUAUUAAACAGACUUGUUUUACCCUUCAUGAAGUCAAGGCUAAUGUUUGGGGGAUUGGAGAACAUUCACUCUGGGGAUUGCUAUAAUCACUAAAGUCCCCUGUGUAUAAUCACUAAGCUCUUGUAAGGAGAGGACUAGGAGAGGUCUACCUACUGGAAGCUGGAUCCUGGUCUCGGGUCCAGGGUGGGUGGAGGACGGCGAUACCCCAACCAAGCUGCGGCGGUUCGUGGGGUUUAUGGUGGCUAUGGUUUUCCAGCGCAGUGCUUAUGGUACUCGCAAGUAGUAGGAAGCAAUGAUUGACGGAGGUACCCGGUCGGGGUGCCAGGCAGUCCGUCACAUCUAUAUACCUUGGUUAGUUUCUCUACUUUUAGUCUAUAUAUUUUUACAUUCACUUUUACCUGGCACAUCCUACAAACUGAAGUUCCAGCACCAUCACCCAAAGAAUCCUAGGUGGGGAUUGUUCCACAAAGACCUGGUAUAUAGUGCGGUUUGUCUGCUCUGAAAAUUGUAAGUACAUUUCUUAUUACAUCCAGCACUUUUACUUAUAGAGAGCACAAUGGGCCUUCUCUUGUGAUUUUAUGUCAUGUGAUCUACACCGUAAAUACCAUCAGAGGAAUAUCCUACAUGUGGGGAGUUUAAACAACACUGUACGCUGUUUUACCUGGAGCUGGUUAAAGCUCUCAGAAAUAUGAGUUGGCACUUUUUAAACGUAGUGUUGUUUUUUUGCCCACAAUCCAUUUGCCCACAGACUCUGUAACUUUCCAAAUCACCAUUAAACCUAUACUUGAGGGGUACUGUUGUACUCGUGAGACAUUACAUAUAGAAUGUAGAAUGUGUGUGUGUAUAUAUAUAUUUUUUUUUAUAUAUAUAUAUAUAUAUAUAUAUAUGUAUAUUAAUACAUAUAAAUAAAUAUAAUGUAUUUUUUAAAUGUAUAUUAUAUAUGUGUAAGAAUAUAUAUAAUACACACACACAUAUACAUAUACAAUACGUGUGUGUGUAUGUAUGUAUGUAUAUAUAUAUAUAUAUAAUUAUCACACACACGCACAUGUUUUUAUUUCCUAUUUAUCUAUAAUAUAUUAUAAAAUAAUUAAAGCAUUUCAUAACAUAUUAUACAUAUAUAAUGCGUAUGUAUAUGUGUAUAUAUCUCAAAAUACACUUAUAAUUAUUAUUUUAUUUACACUUUUAGGUGUCAGGGGACUAAAAGUCAUAGACUUCCAUUGUGGCCAUGUGAUCAUAGUGAUCACAUGGCCCUGGAGGGACGGAGAGGAUGUAGAUGCUGCAAGGAAACUGCUGGGGUCUAUGGCAGUCCCCUGGACUGGGAUCGCCGGUCCAGGUGAGUACUGUCGGGUCCUUUUAGCGGCAAACGUGCAGGGUACGUCCGGUACAGCACUUCUUAAUGGUGAAAAAUAUGUUGGCCUUAGGGCCAGUACCAUUAAAAUUAAAGAAAAUGGUUGGUGUAUAGACCAGCUCACAAAAAGGCUGCUCACGGACCUUCUGCACUUCUUGCAACAUUUGUUUAUUAAGACCUGGCUGAUAAAGAGACAGCUUCAGAUCCCAUCAGCUGUAUUAUGAAACUCGCUAGGUCAAAUGCAGUUGCAUAGGUUGCCCCAUGUGUGAUACAUUUUUGCUACCCAUGCACUUUUUUUAUUACAAUAGCAAUAUAUAGUCAGCUUGAUUUGUUUAGUGUGAUCACUCCACAGUCAUUUAUUUAAUGGUUGCAUUGUUAAGAUACAGACAACAGUGAUAUUUACUAAAGUGAAAAUUUAAAGUGAAUUUCAAAUUUAAAGAGACACUUCACUGCCCAAAUAUAUAUAUUAUACUAUAUUAUAUAAGAAAUAACAUAAUCACUGUUUAGUAGAUAUAACCUAAUGAAAACAUGCAUGCAUUUAGUUAUGCAUUUUAUUGGUGUCACAUCUUAAAACAGCUUGCAAAAGCUGCAUAUCUCUUGUCCAGACUUUCUGUGGCUGUCCAAUCACAGACUCCCCAAUGCAGCUCAAUGAGAAGUCUUUGCAAGGCAGGAGCUCUGGGCAAUUGCUGCCUCUUGAGUUUAGUUUCACUGAGCUAAACAACCAGGAAUUAACAAUAUCUGUUAUCUGAUUGACAGCCAGAUAGCCAGGGGGUAUAUCAAGGCUAAUUUAUAAAACAACCAAUUUCUAUUGACAUCAAGCUGAGGUGCUUUAGGGGUCUGGGGUGUUCCUUUCAGUCGAGUUUGGCUAUUUUUACCUUAAAUUUUUAUUUUACUUUGAAUUCACUUCGAAUUCUCACUUUUUGCAUAGCCCUGUAAGUGUCUCUUUAUUUCAAACAAACAUACAUAUCACCAAAGCCAUGAUUCUUCUAUGCAUUGGUAAAAUUUGUUAUAAAAAUAAAACAUCUGCAAAAUGUCACCAAUAUAUGUAUAGAUCUCAUUUGUGAUAAUAACAGUUUUAAAUCUUAAUUAAAAUACAAUCUAUUUUUUUUCAGAAUGUUGUAUGAGAAGCCACAAGCUCUUACCCCACCGUGAGUUUUACGUAUUCAAACUUUUAUAUUUUUCUCUAUAUUUUCACUAGCAGUGGUGAUAGUAAAGAGCACAGGAACGAAACUAAACAAGCCAUCAAUUGUGCAUAGUCUCAUACAGAGUGAGGAAUUGUUUCCAUGUUGUGUUAAGAACUAACAAUACUAGGAGUAGGAAAAUUGAGAAAACAUACACAUUAGUGAUGUCCCGAACGGUCCACCGAACGGUUCGCGAACCGUUCGCCACGAACGGUUCGCCACGGACUCGUCAUUGAGUAAACUUUGACCCUGUACCUCACAGUCAGCAGACACAUUCCAGCCAAUCUGCAGCAGACCCUCCCUCCCAGACCCUCCCACCUCCUGGACAGCUCACUAAGAAUGCAGCUUCACAUUGAAUGUAAAAUGGAUGCUGUCCAGGAGGUGGGAGGGUCUGGGAGGGAGGGUCUGCUGCUGAUUGGCUGGAAUGUGUCUGCUGACUGUGAGGUACAGGGUCAAAGUUUACUCAAUGAUGAGUCCGCGGCGAACCGUUCGGCAAACCGUUCGGGACAUCACUAAUAAACAUAACAGAACAAGGCUGAUAUAAGUAAGCAUAUCAUGACUCACUCGGGAGUUAAGUUGGUGACCGCUGCAUAUGUAGCCAGUGGAGACAUCCGUGCAACGAAUUUUGUCACCUUCAUUGGGUCCUAAUGGUGGGCUGCGGAUCCAGCUGCUUGAGGUCUUACUGGCGCCAAUGAAUCCAGCAGGAGUUCCAAUGUAGCUAAUAAGGUUGUGGCUUUGGUCAGAUCAUGUACAGUAUAUUGGGAGUUUCCGUGAAAGAUCAUCAGCCUACGGUCAGUCGCCAGCGGUAUUGAAUGUUGUGCUUCCUGUGGAGAGCUGUGAAUACUCUGAGGGACCUCCGUCACACCAAAGUGCCUCUUGACAGGUCAGAAUAAAAGGUAAGCCAAAUUCCCUCAAAAGUAUAAAGAGCUUGGUCUUUUAGAGCAGUUAGAACUGCUGCUUUAUCCCUGCCAUUGUAGAAGUGGACUAUCAGGUCCCGUGGAACUGCUGCAGGAGCCUUUGGUGAUUUGGGGAAUGCGGAAGCAGCCUUCCAGGCCCUCUGACUUGGCCGUCCACGGGGAUAACAAUGCUGCAAUGAGUCGUCUCAGCAUAUGUGGCAAUUCCUCUGUGGGAACGUCCUCUGGGAUGCCCCGUAUUUUAAUGCUUUUCUUGCGCCGCAUGUCUUACAGCGCAUCAAAACUGUUCUGUUUUUGGAGCCCCAGCAUUGUCUGCUACAUAGAAUAUAGUUGUUGUGUGUGCUCUUCCGUCAUGGAUUCCACCAUAGCAAGCCGGCUUGUUAAGCCCUGGAGACCAGCGCGCAGAGUUGUCACGUUGAAUAGGAUAUUUUUCUGUAAGUCUGCCAGCAGGUCUUUAAACACCGCUGUCGUGACUGGAGAUUUGUCAGGGCUGCUAACUAUUGAUGUUGGGGCCGGUCUGGCCAGCAAAGCACCUUCCUCCUCCCCCAGAGACAGCUCGUCCAACAGGUCUGAGUAGGCCUCGGGGUAGUCGGCCAUUUUGGGCCCACUCGCACCUUGUGCCUGACGCAGAAGGUCUCUAAUGUUGAGGCCCAUUCAAGGUUUUUCAGGCUUCUGAAUUUUGGUCUUUCAACCCACUUUGUUUCCUAUACCCCACUCCUGCACCGGUAGUCGCCCAGAUCGAGCUGUGCUGCCCCAAAUAUGGGUUAAAUAAGUGCAGCUCAGAAAUAAUGCGGCCAUUCAACUAAACUGCUUGGCCACGCCCCUAUCAGUUCUGAUUUUUUAAAACAUAUCUUCAGCUUUGACUUUCCAAGCUCUUUUAUUAAGGCUUAAAUUUUGCAAUUCCCUUGUCUAGUUUACAAAGCUGGGAACCGCUAAUAAGAAAAGGACAUGCAUCACUUGAUGAUAAAACAUUUUAAACCCUAAAAGCAAACACUUUUUUAAUUAAUUGAACAUACAAACCAAAAAUAGGGGGAAAAAAUGUAAAGAGUAUGUAAGAAAUGUUUUUUAAAAAUUACUUAAAACUUGGUAAGAUUGCAUUGUUGGACACGCCUCUCAGCUAAGGGGAGUUUCUUCUGGCUCUGUGUGUAAUAUGUGACAACAGAUAUCACAUAACUAAUAAAUAAAUCACAUCUUCCAGUCUACUGGCAAGUGUGCUCAAAAACAGAGGAGCUUUUAAUGUAGCAUAUUAAUGUAGCAAAAGCUUCUAUAUGCCUCUUCUGACUUAAAGAGAGCCUUCAGCAUACUGUGAUUUGUUGGUUUGUUAAUGGCCUGAUGCAAUUAGUUAUAACUGAAUUAAUGAACCCGGUUUAAAAAAUUGUAUUUAUGCUAAAUAGAACAUUUUUGACAAACUAAGUUUCUUCCUGUCUACUGGUCUAUUCAGUAAUUUCACAUACAGUAAAUACAGAAUGGCAAAUUCUGACAGUUCUGAAUUUCAUUGCAAACAAAUGCCUUAAAAAUGUAAAAAAGUAAAAUUCUUUCUGUACUUAUUUGAAUACUUCACAUGGUAUUCUGGGAUAAUAACAAUUAAUAUAUUUGCCAACUGCAAGAAGAAAAACUUGAAAAAAUUAGAUAAUGUUACAACAUUUUAAUAUAUUUUCCGUUAUUGAACCAGAAAUAUCAUUAAAAACUUGAAUCAAUAAAUCAGUGAUUUCAUACAGAGGGUAAAAAUGUCUAACUCUGCGUGUAUUUUCAAUAUUAUAGAAGAGCAGAUGUGGUGAUGAUGACACCGUGGCUUGCCCCUAUUGUUUGGAAUGGUACCUAUAACAUUGAUAUAUUGAAUGCCCAGUUUAAAUUAAGAGGAGUUCGUAUUGGCCUUGCAAUGUUUGCCAUUAAAAAGUAAGUAAUAAUAAUUCAACAUACUUAAUUAUAAAAUUAGUUUUUGUUUUUUUCUAAAAUAAGAGCAAACAUGCCUCUGGUAUUAUGUGGUUGAAUUACAAGAGCCUGAUAAAGUUUAUUUGUGGUAAAUAUGUGCAAUUCAUUUCGUUCCGAAUGUACAUUUGGAAGAAUUUUGGGCACUUCGGACAUUCGGAUACUUCCAAAUGUUCAAAUUGCCAAAGAGCCGAAUUGCCGAACUGAACCGAAUUGAAGAUGUGUCGAAUUGUCGAAUUGCCGAGUUGCCGAACUGAACCAAAUUGAAGAUGUUUCGAAUUGCCGAAUUGCUGAACUGAACCAAAUUGAAGAUGUGUCGACUUGUCGAAUUGCUGAAUUGCUGAAUUGACGAAUUGAUGCACUGAACCAAAUUGAAGAUGUGUCGAAUUGUCGAAUUGUCGAAUUGCCGAAUAGCUGAAUUGCCGAAUUGCCGAACUGAACCAAAUUGAAGAUGUGUCGAAUUGUCGAAUUGCCGAAUAGCCGAAAUGCCGAACUGAACCAAAUUGAUGAGGUGCUUCAGAUUUCAGAAAAUCCCUAUUUUUGCCAAAUAUUUUCAUUUCUACCAAUGGAAGCUUUAGUGGAUGACCCUGAAUUAAUUAAAAACCAAUGUCAUUUGCAUAGCAAAAGUAGGAACUGCGGAUGUCUCCCCGUUAUACGUCUAAUCUUCAUGUCAAACAGAGAAAUGUUCGGCAGUUGGAAUGCGUGUUCCCAACAUAUAACCUGAGCUUGUUCUGAUGCUGGGCUAUGUGCUGGGUGCUGCAGCGCUGCCAGGUACAGGACAGAAGACAUGGUACCUGCUGUCAGGGCAAACGCUAGUGCUGUAUUAUUAAACAAAAAAGUGCACACAUAAACAAUACAGACUAAGCUCAACACUUAUGUGGAGGAUCCCCUUAACCUUCUCAAACACCAAUAGUCUAGAAUAAAGAGUAUAAGUGGAGCUCUAAAGUACCUGGGUAUAUAGCAGAUAUAUUCAAUGGUAUGCCUUUACAGUGAUCUGUAAAUAAUAUAUAACAUACACAUAGUGCAGAUGGUAUGAACUGUACAUAAAUGUGAACAGGAAAUAAGUGGUAAUUCACAACUCACAAGAGUAGAGCCAACUCACAAGAGUAGAGCCAGCACCUCACGGCUUAAACAUCGACUUCUAAUUGUGCCAUUUUUUAUAAUAGAUUAGAUUAUAUAUUUUUACAGAUUUUUAGAAAUAAGUGUAUACAUAUAUUUUUUUUUCUCUUUUUUAUACAUGUAAGGAUUUUCUCAUAUGUUGAAUUGCACCAUUUUAUAUAAUGGAUUAUGUUAUAUAUUGUUUUAGGUAUUUUUAUAAAAUAGGACACAUAGGUUUUUAUUUUAGUAACUAUUUUAAUGUUAGUAUUUUUUAUAUGGCUCAUUUGCCUUUCUUCCCCUCCAAUAUUUUUUUCUCUCUAGCAUAUCUAAAAAUUACACAUAUGUUCCUUUUAUAUUUAUAUAUAAAUGUAAUGUCAUAGUCACACUAUGGUAAAAUAAGUGUUCUUUUGAUGUAAUUAAUAUGUUCACCCCACUAUUUUUUCAUAUGUUCGUCCAUAUUUUUAAGGGUGGUCACUGGUUAACUUAUAUUUGUGAUAAGUUAUAUUUCUGUUGUUGUUUACAAUUUUUUCUUUUGUGAGGGAAUAUUUAUAACCUGCAAGGACAAAAAUAAGAUUGUCAUAUACCUAUAAGGACCUUAUAAUGAAGGAGGAACGCAUGAAUGCGUUCCACAAGAUAGGAAGUUAAAUCACAUGAUUGCACGGGAACUGCACUUCCGGGUUCGCGGGUGUUAGAACAUGUGACCGGACGGAACGUGUGUUCCAUUGUACGGAAUGUGCGUUCCGGUCACAUGGACGCAAUCAAUCAAUUAUGGAGGCGGACUAUUCACCAACCAACUGAGGAAGCCAGGAUUUUGGCGAAACGCGUUUUGGACUAUAUUUCAAUUUGUUGUGGACUUAUACAGGCCCAUUAAUUUUAUUUUAUGUAUACUUUUUAUAUUGUUUAUUUAUUUACAAUAAAGUGUGGAUCCUUCCAUCAUUGGGACCUUCCUGUCUGUUCCAUAUAUACAAAGGAGGAAGAAACCAGAAGGAUGUACGUUUAGUGGAUGGUUGAUCUCCCCUAAUAAGAUCACAGAGCGCUAUACACUAGAGCCAGGUGACCGAUACUCUUUAUUCUAGACUAGUGCUGUAUUAUUGUCUGCAAAAGGAGAAGAGAGAUCAUAUCACAGCUAGCCCCGUAGUACUUGAAAUAUGCAUUGACAUUGCCCCAAGAUGUUCUAUGGACACGACAAAUCAGUGUGUUACCACAUUAUCAUUUUCUACAGCCAGAUGGUUGUCAGUUACAUCAUGUCACAGUUUAGUGAAUAUAACCCUUCUAUUACAUAGCUCCUUGUGAAACCCCCAUGCAGAGCUCACAAGACUCAAUUCUAAAAAUUCUAUCAUUGGCAAGUUUAGGAAACCCAGGUUUGAAGAUAAAAUUAGUGCUGACUUUCUUCUGCAUUCCAAGCAAGUUCUGCCAGACAAAACAAGUUUUUUUAUUGCUGACCAGACGGCAUCUAUACAUGUAUGGCAUGCUGUAUUGUUUUGUAAGAAAUAUCAUAUAAAGGAACUCUUACUAAUUAGAACCUCUGUUACACAGUAUGUAUAAUACAUAAGUUCCAGUUUAGUAAAUAACCCUAUUUGAUCCAUACAUUAUUAUAACACAGUAUUUAUAAUACACAAUAUUUGAUCCAAACAUUAUUAUAACACAGUAUAGUACACAAUGUCUGUUCUAUUCGAUCCAUACAUUAUUAUGACAGUAUAAUACACAACGCCCAGUCUAUUUGAUCCAUACAUUAUUAGAAUAGUAUAAUACACGAUGCUUGAGCCAUACAUAAUUAUGACACUAUAAUACACUGUUUGAUCCAUACUUUAUUAUAGUAUAAUACACAGUAUUUGAUCCAUACAUUAUUAUAACAGUAUACUACACUGCCCAGUAAAGUUGAUCCAUAUAUUUAUUAUAACACAGUAUAAUACACAAUAUUUGAUCCAUACAUUAUGACACAGUGUUAUUUGAUCCAUACAUUAUUAUAACACAGUAUAAUACACAAUGUCCCUUCUAUUUGAUCCAUACAUUAUUAUGACACAGUAUAAUAUACAAUGCCCGGUCUAUUUGAUCUAUCCAUUAUCAUAAUAGUAUAAUACACAAUGUUUGAUCCAUACAUUAUAACACAGUGUAAUACAGUGGGAGCCCUAUAGAUAUGUAAGUGGUUGUGGUGGCAGUCUGGGCACUGGGAGCCAUAGAGAUGUGUUAGUGGAUGUGGUGGCAGUCCGGGCACUGGGAGCCCUAUAGAUAUGUAAAUGGUUGUGGUGGCAAUCCUGUCACUGGGAGCCCUGGAGAUGUGUAAGUGGUUGUAGUGGCAGUCUGGGCACUGGGAACCCUAUAGAUAUGUAAUUGGUUGUAGUGGGUAGGUUUAGGGUUAAGGUUAGCGGUUAAGGGUUAGGGAGCCCAACAGAUGUACAGAUUGCUGAAGUCCCGAAUUGCCGAAGUGACGAAUUUCGAAAGUGUCGAAUUUUUUUUACUUAACCGAAUUUCCGAACCAAACCACAUUUUUUGCCCAUGCAUAUCUCUAAUUUGUGGUGUCACAGCAAAUGUAUAACACAAUGCAAAUUACUAUCUUGAAUAUCUUUUCCACUACGCCUGAAAAAAAUCUUCUAACUGGAUUGAAAUGUCUCCUAGAAUCCACAAUGUUAUUAGAAUUUUAAUAAAUACACUAUUUCAGUUUCCUAUGUGUAAUACAUUACACAUUGUGUGGCGAAAAAAGGCACAGAACACCAACAUCUAAACCUCAUCCCAACUGUGAAGUAUGGUGGUGGGGGCAUCAUGGUUUGGGUCUGCUUUGCUGCGUCAGGGCCUGGACGGAUUGCUAUCAUCGAAGGAAAAAUGAAUUCCCAAGUUUAUCAAGACAUUUUGCAGGAGAACUUAAGGCCAUCUGUCUACCAGCUGAAGCUCAACAGAAGAUGGGUAUUGCAACAGGACAAUGACCCAAAGCAUAGAAGUAAAUCGACAACAGAAUGGCUUAAACAGAAGAAAAUACACCUUCUGAAGUAGCCCAGUUAGAGUCCUGACCUCAACCCAAUUGAGAUGCUGUGGCAUGACCUCAAGAAAGCGAUUCACACCAGACAUCCCAAGAAUAUUGCUGAACUGAAACAGUUCUGUAAAAAGGAAUGGUCAAGAAUUACUCCUGAGCAUUGUGCACUAACCACUCUAUGUAUCAGUCAACUAUAGAAACUUACCCAACAUGACUGCUCAGACUGAUUAAAAAAAGUAACAUUUCUCCAAAAUUAAAUGUAUAUUAUUUUUAAAAAAUCAUAACGUUUCAUUAAAUAUAAGACACUUUUAAAAAACAGAAUUAAAACUUUGAUGACAGUUGUCCUUUAAAAAAUUGACACUUUACACAAAUCUAUAAAAACAUGCACUCUCAGUUAGGAGAUUUUGCCAUCUUACAGCUGAUGUUAUAUAUCUUUAUAGCAAAAUCACAGUUAACUUAUUUAUGUAGAAACUUUAAUUUUUUUUUUUUAUUCAUAACUGAUUUAUCCAUCUAUGUCCUUUUAUUUCAGGUAUGUAGUGUUCCUUAAACAAUUCAUAGAAACCGCUGAAAAAUUCUUCAUGGUAGGAUAUAAAGUCAACUAUUACAUACUCACCGAUCGAGUCGAGGAGGUACGCCAGUACAAUUUUAAACUUGGUGAAGGGAGACAGUUAUUUACCCUACAAUCUCCCACGUACAAAAGGUGGCAGGAUAUCUGCUUCAGACGCAUGGAGAUGAUUCGCAAUUAUACUCGUGACAGAUUCAUCAAUGAGGUUGACUACCUGGCUGUGGCGGAUAUUGACAUGCAGUUCAGUGACGAUGUUGGUGUAGAGAGCUUAAGUGAAUUGUUUGGGACCAUACAUCCUGGUUACUAUAACGCACCUCGACAGAGUUUUACUUAUGAACGCCGGCCACAGUCUAGAGCCUACAUUCCACCUGAUGAGGGGGAUUUUUAUUACGCAGCAGGUUACUUUGGGGGUACAACAGAGGAAAUAUACAAAUUGACCAACUACUGCCAUAAUGGCAUAAUGGCAGACAGAGAGAAAAAUAUUGAAGCACUAUGGCAUGAAGAGAGCCAUUUAAACAAAUACUUUAUUUAUUACAAACCAACAAAACUCCUUUCACCUGAAUAUUUAUGGGACAACCGUAUGGGUAUCCCAGGAUUCCUUAAAAGACGAAGAUUUGUUGCGGUUCCAAAAAACCAUAAUGAAAUCAGGAACAAAAGGUCAAUCAAAGAAAAACAAAGAGCCAGUAAAAACGCUAAACAUUAAAAUAAAAAAAUAAGAAGUUUUGCAAUACUCUGCGUAUUAUCUCUGACACCACUGCCCCAUUUUCCAUAUUCUAAAAUGUUGAUUACUGCAGGUAUUACAGCUCUAUUUUUGACCCUAUUGCACAUGUCAUCGGAAAGUACUGAUAGUGCAGCUAAUAGCUUUCAGGAGUUAAAACCAGGUAACUAAACUAUAAUGGAACGAAAAACUGUUUGCGUGUAUAUAUUAAGUUUUAACAAACCUGCUGUAUUUAAAUAGCAUUGUAAUGAAAGAUCACUAAGCACUUUUGAAAUGCCACCUUUGCUUAUCCAAAUCAUUCUUAAAAAUGACUUGAGGAUAGAUUGCUUCACUUUAUGUUGCAUAUUUAAUGUGGAAACCACGUAAAGCUAUAAGGCUAAAUGAAACAAUGCCUGAUCUAAUAGAUAUGUAUCUAAAAUUAGAUUAUUAAUUUCUAGUAUAGCUAGCAAUGGAAAAUAGUCAAGAUUCAUAGUAAAAGCCAUAUACAAUGUGUUACAUAGUUUAAAAUCACCAAAAUAUUUGUCAUUCACAAAUCCCAAGGGGUUGAUAAAAUCCCUAAAGUAGCACUGAUUAUUAUUAUCUCUGCAUUUGUUUAGAAAUUGCUUUACUUACGCAUUAAGCAAACUUUGUGUGUGGUCAUGCUGUUCGUAUUUACUCGUUCGUAUUUUCGUGUUUAUUUUGCAAUAGUCACUGCUGAUCGUUUGGGUUGCAAAGGUCUUGUUCCAGAGUCUUGUUUAGAAUAUUAAUCUGUAACUAAGUAAUUCUUUUCUCAUAUGUGCAGGUUUUCCAACAUUAUAUAUGGUUGGUCUCUAACAUUUAUUUGCAUUUUCAUAUAUCGUUAAUAACAACAGAACAGUGUGCUAGGCACUUCGCAAAAAAAUUAUCAAAGCGUGUCGAAAAAAGGUUAUGAAUAGUAUAACUGAUAUAAUAGUGAUAAUAGUGCUUUCCCAACACUAUAAGCAUAAAUAUUGUAUGCACGGAUAUUUAUUUGUAUUUCUAUAUCCUUAAUGUCCCUGUAUCAUGUAAACUCUUGCUGGUGGAUUAAUGCCAAGCAGGGGGAAAAAUAAAAUUUGAAUGGUCACUUUUUUAAAUUUAAUGUUAUGUUUAUCUAUCCCUUAUAGUUUAAAAUAUGUAUUUGUAGAUUGGGAAAAAUAAAAAUGAAAAGUACAAAUCUGCAUCAUUUUAUCGUACUAAUGAGCGCCUCCAUUUUGACUCCCUGGCAGUCAUCAUUAUAAGCUCUGUCCUCUGCACCUUACAAUCAGCACAGAGAAUGCCUAGAGAGAAGAGCAGAAAUUAAACAAUUAUCUUGUUUCUCCUUCUCUGCUGUAAUGUGUAUCUAGACUGAGCUAGAAUUAUGAUGGGGUGUAAUUAGCAAGUUUGAUAUAUUUAAAAGAUACUCAGCAUCAUAUGAAGGGUUAACAUAAUCUAUGAAAAACAUACAGCGAUGACUCCAAAGGGAGCAAAACUCUGUACCUUGGAGACCCUAUAAAAAUCCAAGAUGGUACCGUGAACUGCAAAGGAAACACAGGUUGCGCCAGAUAACAGUAUGAGUAUAACUGAACAGUAAAGUUUAAAUGUACACUUCAAACUAAUUAAUAGUUGAUAUAUAUAUAUACCGUAUAUACUCGAGUAUAAGUCGACCCGAAUAUAAGUCGAGACCCCUAAUUUUACCCAAAAAAACUGGGAAAACGUAUUGACUGGAAUAUAAGACUAUGGUGGGAAAUGCAGCAGCUACUGG